This 468-nucleotide ribosomal RNA is filed under the name uncultured bacterium. RNAcentral's name for it is "partial 16S ribosomal RNA". It matches the Rfam family "Bacterial small subunit ribosomal RNA", at positions 28 to 507 of the family's 1533-position model. The record is from RNAcentral.
GACGAACGCUGGCGGCGUGCUUAACACAUGCAAGUCGAACGGAAAGGCCAUGCUUUUGUGGGGUGCUCGAGUGGCGAACGGGUGAGUAACACGUGAGUAUCCUGCCCUUGACUUUGGGAUAACUUCAGGAAACUGGGGCUAAUACCGGAUAGGAGCUCCUGCUGCAUGGUGGGGGUUGGAAAGUUUCGGCGGUUGGGGAUGGACUCGCGGCUUAUCAGCUUGUUGGUGGGGUAGUGGCUUACCAAGGCUUUGACGGGUAGCCGGCCUGAGAGGGUGACCGGCCACAUUGGGACUGAGAUACGGCCCAGACUCCUACGGGAGGCAGCAGUGGGGAAUAUUGCACAAUGGGCGGAAGCCUGAUGCAGCAACGCCGCGUGCGGGAUGACGGCCUUCGGGUUGUAAACCGCUUUCGCCUGUGACGAAGCGUGAGUGACGGUAAUGGGUAAAGAAGCACCGGCUACCUACGUG